AUUGAACGCUGGCGGCAUGCCUUACACAUGCAAGUCGAACGGCAGCACGGGUGCUUGCACCUGGUGGCGAGUGGCGAACGGGUGAGUAAUACAUCGGAACAUGUCCUGUAGUGGGGGAUAGCCCGGCGAAAGCCGGAUUAAUACCGCAUACGAUCUACGGAUGAAAGCGGGGGACCUUCGGGCCUCGCGCUAUAGGGUUGGCCGAUGGCUGAUUAGCUAGUUGGUGGGGUAAAGGCCUACCAAGGCGACGAUCAGUAGCUGGUCUGAGAGGACGACCAGCCACACUGGGACUGAGACACGGCCCAGACUCCUACGGGAGGCAGCAGUGGGGAAUUUUGGACAAUGGGCGAAAGCCUGAUCCAGCAAUGCCGCGUGUGGGAAGAAGGCCUUCGGGUUGUAAAGCACUUUUGUCCGGAAAGAAAUCCUUGGCCCUAAUACGGGCGGGGGAUGACGGUACCGGAAGAAUAAGCACCGGCUAACUACGUG
Molecule: ribosomal RNA, 486 nt
Filed under: uncultured bacterium
Lineage: Bacteria
Description: partial 16S ribosomal RNA
Rfam family: Bacterial small subunit ribosomal RNA
Source: RNAcentral